UGGUGUUGAGGAGAGGUUGCCCGUGCGCGUUCACAUUUCUCAUGUUGCACAAUACACGGUCGACCUCUCUUCAGCAUC
Molecule: microRNA precursor, 78 nt
Organism: Loxodonta africana (African savanna elephant)
Lineage: Eukaryota; Metazoa; Chordata; Mammalia; Proboscidea; Elephantidae
Source: Ensembl